This 28-nucleotide non-coding RNA is filed under the name Rattus norvegicus (Norway rat). Lineage: Eukaryota; Metazoa; Chordata; Mammalia; Rodentia; Muridae. The record is from RNAcentral.
UCACAGGCAUGAUGUGGAAAUGGAAAAA